This 69-nucleotide transfer RNA is filed under the name Fukomys damarensis (Damara mole-rat). It matches the Rfam family "tRNA". From Rfam's summary of the family: Transfer RNA (tRNA) molecules are approximately 80 nucleotides in length. Their secondary structure includes four short double-helical elements and three loops (D, anti-codon, and T loops). Lineage: Eukaryota; Metazoa; Chordata; Mammalia; Rodentia; Bathyergidae. The record is from Rfam by way of RNAcentral.
GGGGAUAUAGCUCAGUGGAACAGCACCUGCUUGGCAAGCAUGAGGCUCUGAGUUCAAUUCCCAGUACCA